GAUGAACGCUAGCGAUAGGCUUAACACAUGCAAGUCGAGGGGCAGCACAAGGUAGCUUGCUAUCUGGGUGGCGACCGGCGCACGGGUGCGUAACGCGUAUGCAACUUGCCCUAUACAGGAGGAUAACCCGUCGAAAGACGGACUAAUACUGCGUAUGCUCACAACUUGGCAUCAAGUGGUGAGGAAAGAAAUUCGGUAUAGGAUAGGCAUGCGUCCCAUUAGCUUGUUGGUGAGGUAACGGCUCACCAAGGCAACGAUGGGUAGGGGAACUGAGAGGUUUAUCCCCCACACUGGUACUGAGACACGGACCAGACUCCUACGGGAGGCAGCAGUGAGGAAUAUUGGUCAAUGGGCGCGAGCCUGAACCAGCCAAGUCGCGUGAAGGAUGACUGUCUUAUGGAUUGUAAACUUCUUUUAUACGGCAAUAACAAGAGUCACGUGUGACUCCCUGCAUGUACCGUAUGAAUAAGCAUCGGCUAACUCCGUG
Molecule: ribosomal RNA, 487 nt
Filed under: uncultured bacterium
Lineage: Bacteria
Description: partial 16S ribosomal RNA
Rfam family: Bacterial small subunit ribosomal RNA
Source: RNAcentral